AAUAGACCGAGGUUUCGUGGUUUGAAACCAUUUCACACUCGUCCACUUCGCAAAAGAAUCGGCUGGAGAACAGAAGUUCGCUAAAAGUUUCCUCAAGUGAUUUCAAGUGAUGGUGUUUGAAUUAAAAUAAGUUCAAGAUUUAAAUUUUCGGUGUUACUAAAACACUUCUAAAGUGAAUUCUGUUCUGGUGUUUCGGAAAGAUUUGAGUACAAAGCGCUCGUCCAACGAGCGUUUUGUACGGGCUGGAUUUUGCUGGUGUUUUGUGCUCGUGUGCCGCGCUAAGGCCCGCCGUCCCGGUAGUCAAACGGAGUUGGUGGUUUCCGUUAUCACGUUUGCGAAGUUGUCCGAGAGCCAGCAAUCCGAAGUAGCAGUUCAUUCCAUCGUGGGGGAUCGGUACGGAAUCUUAGUACGUGAGGUCCUUCCAGGGUACGUUGUCUGUUGCGGAGGGUUCUACUCUCGUCGACCAAAUCGGAAGUCUUCCGUCCAGCCGGACCACACUCCGCACCUUUAAUUCGGCCAUACGCACACGAGCCGCCGUAGUCGACCACGUUUCGUCGACUUUG
Long non-coding RNA from Topomyia yanbarensis, 563 nucleotides. RefSeq lists it as uncharacterized. The record is from RefSeq and is a predicted model, not a curated record. Lineage: Eukaryota; Metazoa; Arthropoda; Insecta; Diptera; Culicidae. The transcript has 3 exons.